RNAcentral lists this ribosomal RNA (630 nucleotides) under Tricholoma matsutake. RNAcentral's name for it is "partial small subunit ribosomal RNA". It matches the Rfam family "Bacterial small subunit ribosomal RNA", at positions 431 to 921 of the family's 1533-position model. The record is from RNAcentral. Lineage: Eukaryota; Fungi; Basidiomycota; Agaricomycetes; Agaricales; Tricholomataceae.
GUCAUUAAUUUGGUGAUUAUGAUAACAUAAGGGAAAAAAAAUGAUAUUACCUUAUUAUUAGUGUUGUCCAAAACUGGUGCCAGAAGACUCGGUAAGACCAGAGACGCAAACGUUAGUCAUCUUAAUCAGGCGUAAAGGGUGUGUAGGCUGCUUUAAAAGUUUAAAUCUUUUUAAUAGCUCUUUUGCCGUUGUCCUGCCAUUAUUUAUUUUAUUUAUAAAAUAAUAAACAAUAAUGAAUAUAAAGGCAGUACAUUUUUAAUUUUAUUAAUAUUAAUUUAAUUUAAUAAUUAUAAAGGGGACAAAAAAGAUAUCCCGGUUUAAGUAAAAAGAAUAAAAUGAAUUAAAGCUAGAAUCAAAUUGAGGAUAAACCAAAUAAUACUUAGAGUAGGGCCGAUAUCCGCAGAUACUAAGGGGAAUACUAAAGGUGAAAGCUUUUUAUCUACUAUUGAUUGACGCUGAGAAACGAAGGUGAGAACAGGAAAUAGGAUUUGAUACCCAGAUACCUCUCACUGUCAACGAUGAAUGGUGGUUGUUAGUUUUAAUAAAAACUGGUAACGAUGUUAACACGAUAACCAUUCCGCCUUGCGAGUACGGUUGCAAAACUGAAACCAAAAAAAUUAGUCGGUUUCG